Molecule: unclassified non-coding RNA, 26 nt
Filed under: Mus musculus (house mouse)
Lineage: Eukaryota; Metazoa; Chordata; Mammalia; Rodentia; Muridae
Description: oocyte_clustered_small_RNA12144
Source: RNAcentral
UAACAAGAUAUGAUGAUGACAAUGAU